This 73-nucleotide transfer RNA is filed under the name Atta texana. Its description in RNAcentral is "tRNA-Asp". The record is from RNAcentral. Lineage: Eukaryota; Metazoa; Arthropoda; Insecta; Hymenoptera; Formicidae.
AAAGAAUUAGUUUAAUUUAAAUAACAUUAAAUUGUCAAUUUAAAAAUAUUAUCUACCUUAAUAAUAUUCUUUU